GAUGAACGCUGGCGGCGUGCCUAAUACAUGCAAGUCGAGCGAACAGACGAGGAGCUUGCUCCUCUGACGUUAGCGGCGGACGGGUGAGUAACACGUGGAUAACCUACCUAUAAGACUGGUAUAACUUCGGGAAACCGGAGUUAAUACCGGAUAAUAUAUUGAACCGCAUGGUUCAAUAGUGAAAGACGGUUUUGCUGUCACUUAUAGAUGGAUCCGCGCCGCAUUAGCUAGUUGGUAAGGUAACGGCUUACCAAGGCAACGAUGCGUAGCCGACCUGAGAGGGUGAUCGGCCUCACUGGAACUGAGACACGGUCCAGACUCCCACGGAAGGCAGCAGUAGGGAAUCUUCCGCAAUGGGCGAAAGCCUGACGGAGCAACGCCGCGUGAGUGAUGAAGGUCUUCGGAUCGUAAAACUCUGUUAUUAGGGAAGAACAAAUGUGUAAGUAACUAUGCACGUCUUGACGGUACCUAAUCAGAAAGCCACGGCUAACUACGUG
RNAcentral lists this ribosomal RNA (497 nucleotides) under uncultured bacterium. RNAcentral describes it as "partial 16S ribosomal RNA". It matches the Rfam family "Bacterial small subunit ribosomal RNA", at positions 28 to 507 of the family's 1533-position model. The record is from RNAcentral.